GCUGGCGUAGCUCAGUUGGUAGAGCAGCGGUUUUGUAAACCGCAGGUCGCAGGUUCGAUCCCUGUCGCCAGCUCCA
Molecule: transfer RNA, 76 nt
Filed under: Nitrospira sp.
Lineage: Bacteria; Pseudomonadati; Nitrospirota; Nitrospiria; Nitrospirales; Nitrospiraceae
Also listed under: 3 other names
Description: tRNA-Thr
Rfam family: tRNA
About the family: Transfer RNA (tRNA) molecules are approximately 80 nucleotides in length.
Source: RNAcentral